This 1432-nucleotide ribosomal RNA is filed under the name uncultured organism. RNAcentral's name for it is "16S ribosomal RNA". It matches the Rfam family "Bacterial small subunit ribosomal RNA". The record is from RNAcentral.
UGCUUAACACAUGCAAGUCGAACGGAAAGGCCCUGCUUUUGUGGGGUGCUCGAGUGGCGAACGGGUGAGUAACACGUGAGUAACCUGCCCUUGACUUUGGGAUAACUUCAGGAAACUGGGGCUAAUACCGGAUAGGAGCUCCUGCUGCAUGGUGGGGGUUGGAAAGUUUCGGCGGUUGGGGAUGGACUCGCGGCUUAUCAGCUUGUUGGUGGGGUAGUGGCUUACCAAGGCUUUGACGGGUAGCCGGCCUGAGAGGGUGACCGGCCACAUUGGGACUGAGAUACGGCCCAGACUCCUACGGGAGGCAGCAGUGGGGAAUAUUGCACAAUGGGCGGAAGCCUGAUGCAGCAACGCCGCGUGCGGGAUGACGGCCUUCGGGUUGUAAACCGCUUUCGCCUGUGACGAAGCGUGAGUGACGGUAAUGGGUAAAGAAGCACCGGCUAACUACGUGCCAGCAGCCGCGGUGAUACGUAGGGUGCGAGCGUUGUCCGGAUUUAUUGGGCGUAAAGGGCUCGUAGGUGGUUGAUCGCGUCGGAAGUGUAAUCUUGGGGCUUAACCCUGAGCGUGCUUUCGAUACGGGUUGACUUGAGGAAGGUAGGGGAGAAUGGAAUUCCUGGUGGAGCGGUGGAAUGCGCAGAUAUCAGGAGGAACACCAGUGGCGAAGGCGGUUCUCUGGGCCUUUCCUGACGCUGAGGAGCGAAAGCGUGGGGAGCGAACAGGCUUAGAUACCCUGGUAGUCCACGCUGUAAACGGUGGGUACUAGGUGUGGGGUCCAUUCCACGGGUUCCGUGCCGUAGCUAACGCUUUAAGUACCCCGCCUGGGGAGUACGGCCGCAAGGCUAAAACUCAAAGGAAUUGACGGGGCCCCGCACAAGCGGCGGAGCAUGCGGAUUAAUUCGAUGCAACGCGUAGAACCUUACCUGGGUUUGACAUGGAUCGGGAGUGCUCAGAGAUGGGUGUGCCUCUUUUGGGGUCGGUUCACAGGUGGUGCAUGGCUGUCGUCAGCUCGUGUCGUGAGAUGUUGGGUUAAGUCCCGCAACGAGCGCAACCCUUGUUCACUGUUGCCAGCACGUUAUGGUGGGGACUCAGUGGAGACCGCCGGGGUCAACUCGGAGGAAGGUGGGGAUGACGUCAAGUCAUCAUGCCCCUUAUGUCCAGGGCUUCACGCAUGCUACAAUGGCUGGUACAGAGAGUGGCGAGCCUGUGAGAGUGAGCGAAUCUCGGAAAGCCGGUCUCAGUUCGGAUUGGGGUCUGCAACUCGACCUCAUGAAGUCGGAGUCGCUAGUAAUCGCAGAUCAGCAACGCUGCGGUGAAUACGUUCCCGGGGCUUGUACACACCGCCCGUCAAGUCAUGAAAGUUGGUAACACCCGAAGCCGGUGGCCUAACCGUUGUGGGGGAGCCGUCGAAGGUGGGACUGGUGAUUAGGACUAA